UGGGGAAUAUUGCACAAUGGGCGCAAGCCUGAUGCAGCCAUGCCGCGUGUGUGAAGAAGGCCUUCGGGUUGUAAAGCACUUUCAGCGAGGAGGAAGGUGGUGGACUUAAUACGUUCAUCAAUUGACGUUACUCGCAGAAGAAGCACCGGCUAACUCCGUGCCAGCAGCCGCGGUAAUACGGAGGGUGCAAGCGUUAAUCGGAAUUACUGGGCGUAAAGCGCACGCAGGCGGUUUGUUAAGUCAGAUGUGAAAUCCCCGGGCUCAACCUGGGAACUGCAUUUGAAACUGGCAAGCUAGAGUCUCGUAGAGGGGGGUAGAAAUUCCAGGUGUAGCGGUGAAAUGCGGUAGAGAUCUGGAGGAAUACCGGUGGCGAAGGCGGCCCCCUGGACGAAGACUGACGCUCAGGUGCGAAAGCGUGGGGAGCAAACAGGAUUAGAUAACCCUGGUAGUCCACGCUGUAAACGAUGUCGAUUUUGGAGGUUGUGCCCUUGAGGCGUGGCUUGCCGGAGCUAACGCGUUAAAGUCGACCGCC
Molecule: ribosomal RNA, 532 nt
Filed under: uncultured bacterium
Lineage: Bacteria
Description: partial 16S ribosomal RNA
Rfam family: Bacterial small subunit ribosomal RNA
Source: RNAcentral